This 501-nucleotide long non-coding RNA is filed under the name Chinchilla lanigera (long-tailed chinchilla). RNAcentral describes it as "lncRNA (ENSCLAG00000023057.1)". The record is from RNAcentral. Lineage: Eukaryota; Metazoa; Chordata; Mammalia; Rodentia; Chinchillidae.
AUGGAAGGAUUAUGCCUUUGCUGUCUUAAAUCUCCACCUGCCCACAUUCAUCUAAGACCAACCAACCUUGUUCCUUUCUUCUUUGCCAGCCCUCCUCCCCCACCUGUAUCUCCCACCUCACAUUCAAUAAUGCGGGGUAACGCAUGUUUCAGAGCCUGGUGUCAUGUUAGUAAGAGGUCAGGCAUGAACAUUCAUGUCAAAACCUCUGUACCUCUUCUCACACUAUCUGAAUGUCAACUGUGGUUUACAAUAAUAACAGUCGCCACUUUCAUUAAACAGUUCUGUGUCCAGACAGUGUGUUAGGUACGUAAUAUACAUUACCUCAUUUAAUUUAUUAGCUACACAACUUUAUACAAUCAGUGCUACUAUUUUCCCAUUUUACAGAUGAAAGGGAGGUUUUCCCAAGUUCAUACGGCCGAGUGUGCCUGGUUUUAAGCAGUCAGUUCAAAUAUGGCAUAUGUGCAGACUGGCUUACUGAGAGGCCUGGCGAUCAUGUGUGGG